CCUACGGGAGGCAGCAGUAGGGAAUCUUCCACAAUGGACGCAAGUCUGAUGGAGCAACGCCGCGUGAGUGAAGAAGGGUUUCGGCUCGUAAAACACUGUUAUAAGAGAAGAACGGCACUGAGAGUAACUGUUCAGUGUGUGACGGUAUCUUACCAGAAAGGAACGGCUAAAUACGUGCCAGCAGCCGCGGUAAUA
RNAcentral lists this ribosomal RNA (195 nucleotides) under uncultured bacterium. RNAcentral's name for it is "partial 16S ribosomal RNA". It matches the Rfam family "Bacterial small subunit ribosomal RNA", at positions 338 to 525 of the family's 1533-position model. The record is from RNAcentral.